Molecule: ribosomal RNA, 459 nt
Filed under: uncultured bacterium
Lineage: Bacteria
Description: partial 16S ribosomal RNA
Rfam family: Bacterial small subunit ribosomal RNA
Source: RNAcentral
GAUGAAUGCUGGCGGCGUGCUUAACACAUGCAAGUCGAGCGGUAAGGCCCUUCGGGGUACACGAGCGGCGGACGGCUGAGUAACGCGUGGGAACAUGCCCUAAAGUGAGGAAUAACUGCCCGAAAGGGUGGCUAAUGCCGCAUAUGAUCUUCGGAUUAAAGGAGUUAUCCGCUUUAGGAGGGGCCUGCGUACGAUUAGCUAGUUGGUGAGGUAAUGGCUCACCGAGGCGACGAUCAGUAGCUGGUCUGAGAGGAUGAUCAGCCACAUUGGGACUGAGCCACGGCCCAAACCCCUACGGGAGGCAGCAGUGGGGAAUCUUGCGCAAUGGGCGAAAACCUGACGCAGCCAUGCCGCGUGAAUGAUGAAGGUCUUAGGAUUGUAAAAUUCUUUCACCGGGGACGAUACUGACGGUACCCGGACAAGAAGCCCCGGCUAACUUCGUGCCAGCCGCCGCCGUAA